CCUACGGGAGGCAGCAGUGAGGAAUAUUGGUCAAUGGACGAGAGUCUGAACCAGCCAAGCCGCGUGAAGGAUGAAUGCACUAUGGGUUGUAAACUUCUUUUAUAAAGGAAUAAAACGAGGCACGUGUGCCUUUUUGCAUGUACUUUAUGAAUAAGGAUCGGCUAACUCCGUGCCAGCAGCCGCGGUAAUACGGAGGAUCCGAGCGUUAUCCGGAUUUAUUGGGUUUAAAGGGAGCGUAGGUGGGUUGUUAAGUCAGGUGUGAAAGUUUGCGGCUCAACCGUAAAAUUGCAAUUGAUACUGGCAGUCUUGAGUACAGUGGAGGUAGGCGGAAUUCGUGGGGUAGCGGUGAAAUGCUUAGAUAUCACGAAGAACCCCGAUUGCGAAGGCAGCUUACUAACCUGUGACUGACAUUGAUGCUCGAAAGUGUGGGUAUCAAACAGGAUUGGAUACCCGAGUAGUC
RNAcentral lists this ribosomal RNA (460 nucleotides) under uncultured bacterium. RNAcentral describes it as "partial 16S ribosomal RNA". It matches the Rfam family "Bacterial small subunit ribosomal RNA", at positions 338 to 795 of the family's 1533-position model. The record is from RNAcentral.